UCGGUACGAGCCGAGGGGAGCAAUUAAAUCCCAAUGUCUAGCCGACUUCUCAGCGGAGUUAACACCACAACAAGACUCCUCAACCAGAUGGACGUUCUAUGUAAUAUUUGAUUUUAUUUUAUUAUUAUAGGUAUUGCAUCAUUUCCUGUUUUUUUAAAAAAUUAAAUUUUUAUAUUUUUCAAAAAAUUUAAAUAACUAUUUUUUUAUAUAUUUAAUUUUAUUUUUAUAUUAAAAUAGUUAUUAGUAGUAUUUUAGUUAUU
Molecule: long non-coding RNA, 260 nt
Filed under: Phaseolus vulgaris (common bean)
Lineage: Eukaryota; Viridiplantae; Streptophyta; Magnoliopsida; Fabales; Fabaceae
Description: long non-coding RNA (PVUL_LNC004366)
Source: RNAcentral